RNAcentral lists this transfer RNA (73 nucleotides) under Paramuricea clavata. It matches the Rfam family "tRNA". From Rfam's summary of the family: Transfer RNA (tRNA) molecules are approximately 80 nucleotides in length. The record is from Rfam by way of RNAcentral. Lineage: Eukaryota; Metazoa; Cnidaria; Anthozoa; Malacalcyonacea; Plexauridae.
GACCGCGUAGCUCAGUUGGAAGAGCAUUGGGGUAGUAUUCCAAAGGUCGUAGGUUCGAAUCCCACCGUGGCCA